Molecule: ribosomal RNA, 497 nt
Filed under: uncultured bacterium
Lineage: Bacteria
Description: partial 16S ribosomal RNA
Rfam family: Bacterial small subunit ribosomal RNA
Source: RNAcentral
GACGAACGCUGGCGGCGUGCCUAAUACAUGCAAGUUGAGCGCUGAAGGUUGGUACUUGUACCAACUGGAUGAGCAGCGAACGGGUGAGUAACGCGUGGGGAAUCUGCCUUUGAGCGGGGGACAACAUUUGGAAACGAAUGCUAAUACCGCAUAAAAACUUUAAACACAAGUUUUAAGUUUGAAAGAUGCAAUUGCAUCACUCAAAGAUGAUCCCGCGUUGUAUUAGCUAGUCGGUGAGGUAAAGGCUCACCAAGGCGAUGAUACAUAGCCGACCUGAGAGGGUGAUCGGCCACAUUGGGACUGAGACACGGCCCAAACUCCUACGGGAGGCAGCAGUAGGGAAUCUUCGGCAAUGGACGAAAGUCUGACCGAGCAACGCCGCGUGAGUGAAGAAGGUUUUCGGAUCGUAAAACUCUGUUGGUAGAGAAGAACGUUGGUGAGAGUGGAAAGCUCAUCAAGUGACGGUAACUACCCAGAAAGGGACGGCUAACUACGUG